Molecule: ribosomal RNA, 496 nt
Filed under: uncultured bacterium
Lineage: Bacteria
Description: partial 16S ribosomal RNA
Rfam family: Bacterial small subunit ribosomal RNA
Source: RNAcentral
AUGAACGCUGGCGGCGUGCCUAAUACAUGCCAGUCGAGCGAACAGACGAGGAGCUUGCUCCUCUGACGUUAGCGGCGGACGGGGGAGUAACACGUGGAUAACCUACCUAUAAGACUGGGAUAACUUCGGGAAACCGGAGCUAAUACCGGAUAAUAUAUUGAACCGCAUGGUUCAAUAGUGAAAGACGGUUUUGCUGUCACUUAUAGAUGGAUCCGCGCCGCAUUAGCUAGUUGGUAAGGUAACGGCUUACCAAGGCGACGAUGCGUAGCCGACCUGAGAGGGUGAUCGGCCACACUGGAACUGAGACACGGUCCAGACUCCUACGGGAGGCAGCAGUAGGGAAUCUUCCGCAAUGGGCGAAAGCCUGACGGAGCAACGCCGCGUGAGUGAUGAAGGUCUUCGGAUCGUAAAACUCUGUUAUUAGGGAAGAACAAAUGUGUAAGUAACUAUGCACGUCUUGACGGUACCUAAUCAGAAAGCCACGGCUAACUACGUG